This 531-nucleotide ribosomal RNA is filed under the name uncultured Comamonadaceae bacterium. Its description in RNAcentral is "bacterial SSU rRNA". It matches the Rfam family "Bacterial small subunit ribosomal RNA", at positions 195 to 707 of the family's 1533-position model. The record is from RNAcentral. Lineage: Bacteria; Pseudomonadati; Pseudomonadota; Betaproteobacteria; Burkholderiales; Comamonadaceae.
UGAGGAUGAAAGCGGGGGACCGUAAGGCCUCGCGCGAUCGGAGCGGCCGAUGUCAGAUUAGGUAGUUGGUGGGGUAAAGGCUCACCAAGCCGACGAUCUGUAGCUGGUCUGAGAGGACGACCAGCCACACUGGGACUGAGACACGGCCCAGACUCCUACGGGAGGCAGCAGUGGGGAAUUUUGGACAAUGGGCGAAAGCCUGAUCCAGCAAUGCCGCGUGCAGGAAGAAGGCCUUCGGGUUGUAAACUGCUUUUGUACGGAGCGAAAAGGCUCUCUCUAAUACAGGGGGCUCAUGACUGUACCGUAAGAAUAAGCACCGGCUAACUACGUGCCAGCAGCCGCGGUAAUACGUAGGGUGCAAGCGUUAAUCGGAAUUACUGGGCGUAAAGCGUGCGCAGGCGGUUUUGUAAGACAGGCGUGAAAUCCCCGGGCUCAACCUGCGAAUGGGGCUUGUGACUGCAAAGCUGGAGUGCGGCAGAGGGGGAUGGAAUUCCGCGUGUAGCAGUGAAAUGCGUAGAUAUGCGGAGGAAC